GUGCUCACUUCGGCAGUACAUACACUAAAACUGGAACAAAACAGAGGAGAUUGGCAGGGCCCCCGCAAAAGGAUGACACCCAAACUCAUGAAGCAUUCCAUUUUUCA
This is a small nuclear RNA of Dipodomys ordii (Ord's kangaroo rat), 107 nucleotides long. The record is from Ensembl. Lineage: Eukaryota; Metazoa; Chordata; Mammalia; Rodentia; Heteromyidae.